CACACACAACACACCACAGUAGUGGGUAUUCGUGCAUUCUGGAUCAACCUUCGGUUGAUCCAGAAUACACGAAUACGACAUGGCUCCUCGCCUAAAAAAAAAAAAAAAAAAAAAAAAAAAAAG
Molecule: long non-coding RNA, 123 nt
Organism: Melitaea cinxia (Glanville fritillary)
Lineage: Eukaryota; Metazoa; Arthropoda; Insecta; Lepidoptera; Nymphalidae
Exons: 3
Source: RefSeq, a predicted model, not a curated record